AACGAACGCUGGCGGCAUGCCUAACACAUGCAAGUCGAACGAGACCUUCGGGUCUAGUGGCGCACGGGUGCGUAACGCGUGGGAACCUGCCCUUAGGUUCGGAAUAACUCCCCGAAAGGGGUGCUAAUACCGGAUAAUGUCUUCCGACCAAAGAUUUAUCGCCUUUGGAUGGGCCCGCGUUGGAUUAGCUAGUUGGUAGGGUAAAAGCCUACCAAGGCGACGAUCCAUAGCUGGUCUGAGAGGAUGAUCAGCCACACUGGGACUGAGACACGGCCCAGAAUCCGACGCGAGGCAGCAGUGGGGAAUAUUGGACAAUGGGCGAAAGCCUGAUCCAGCAAUGCCGCGUGAGUGAUGAAGGCCUUAGGGUUGUACAGCUCUUUUACCCGGGAUGAUAAUGACAGUACCGGGAGAAUAAGCUCCGGCUAACUCCGUG
RNAcentral lists this ribosomal RNA (433 nucleotides) under uncultured bacterium. Its description in RNAcentral is "partial 16S ribosomal RNA". It matches the Rfam family "Bacterial small subunit ribosomal RNA", at positions 29 to 507 of the family's 1533-position model. The record is from RNAcentral.